RNAcentral lists this ribosomal RNA (253 nucleotides) under uncultured bacterium. Its description in RNAcentral is "partial 16S ribosomal RNA". It matches the Rfam family "Bacterial small subunit ribosomal RNA", at positions 524 to 776 of the family's 1533-position model. The record is from RNAcentral.
UACAGAGGUCCCGAGCGUUGUUCGGAUUCGCUGGGCGUAAAGGGUGCGUAGGUGGCAUGGUAAGUUUGAUGUGAAAGCUCAGGGCUCAACCCUGAAAUGGCAUUGAAUACUACUGUGCUGGAGGUUUGGAGGGGGGACUGGAAUUCUUGGUGUAGCAGUGAAAUGCGUAGAUAUCAAGAGGAACACCAGUGGCGAAGGCGAGUCCCUGGACAACACCUGACACUGAGGCACGAAAGCUAGGGGAGCAAACAGG